UACGUAGGGUGCAAGCGUUGUCCGGAAUUAUUGGGCGUAAAGAGCUCGUAGGCGGUUUGUCGCGUCUGCUGUGAAAACCCGAGGCUCAACCUCGGGCCUGCAGUGGGUACGGGCAGACUAGAGUGCGGUAGGGGAGAUUGGAAUUCCUGGUGUAGCGGUGGAAUGCGCAGAUAUCAGGAGGAACACCGGUGGCGAAGGCGGGUCUCUGGGCCGAUACUGACGCUGAGGCGCGAAAGCGUGGGGAGCAAACAGG
Molecule: ribosomal RNA, 253 nt
Filed under: uncultured bacterium
Lineage: Bacteria
Description: partial 16S ribosomal RNA
Rfam family: Bacterial small subunit ribosomal RNA
Source: RNAcentral